This 74-nucleotide transfer RNA is filed under the name Verrucomicrobiota bacterium. Its description in RNAcentral is "Verrucomicrobia bacterium (rhizosphere metagenome) tRNA-Arg". It matches the Rfam family "tRNA". From Rfam's summary of the family: Transfer RNA (tRNA) molecules are approximately 80 nucleotides in length. Their secondary structure includes four short double-helical elements and three loops (D, anti-codon, and T loops). The record is from RNAcentral. Lineage: Bacteria; Pseudomonadati; Verrucomicrobiota.
GCACCCGUAGCUCAACUGGAUAGAGCGACAGUCUACGGAACUGUAGGUUACAGGUUCGAGCCCUGUCGGGUGCA